CCAUGCAUUGCUUCUAAGCAAAUGUAAAGCAGAAUGAAUAUAUAUAUAACUAGCUCAAAGAUAUAGUUCCUUUGUUAGUUUUCACUGGUAACCAACAUUUCCCAGAGGCUUGGAACUUUCUCUCUUUCUUUCCCUUUCGUGGGUCUCAGGGAUGGUUGGGGAUGUCACUCUUUCAUUGUUCUUUACAUUUGCUUAGAAGCAAUGCAUGGUGAGGAUUGAGAUUACAGGGUGUCGUAAGGAAGAAAAUUGAAAGGCUACUUAAAGAAUAUGGGUUAAGAGAGUCUCAAGAUGGAGUGAAACCCAUUUUUCUGCAGCCAGUUUUGCGGAGUCCUAAUCUGCUGUGGGAAUCCUGAUGAUGCUGCAGCAUUUGCAACCAACUGUUGAGGAGGAGGAGGUCCGGAUUGCCAUUGUUGCUGUUGGUGGUGGUGGUAAUCGCUUGGAGAUAAUGAAAGAUCACUGCCAAUUCGGCCUCCAUUGCUGCUGCGCAGCAAUGGAGGCCGAAUUUGAUAGUUUGGCGAAAACCCAUGAAGCAUCUGGGUCUCUCCAGGUCUCCUGAGUUGUCCGUAUAUUUGUGCUUCAUUUCCUGGAGAUUGAAUGUGGGUUUGGCUAAGAAGCUGCAUUGUUUCAGUCUCACUGUACCCUUCUCUUCUAUGGUCAUCACUUUCACUACUUCUAUACAGGUUUAGCUUAGGCCUAAUUCCAGCGUUUC
RNAcentral lists this unclassified non-coding RNA (709 nucleotides) under Hevea brasiliensis (rubber tree). The record is from RNAcentral. Lineage: Eukaryota; Viridiplantae; Streptophyta; Magnoliopsida; Malpighiales; Euphorbiaceae.